GGACCAUCUAUGCUUCACAAAUUAAGGUUUUAUGGCACAAAUUGUUAAUGAACUAAUUUUUCAAAUAUGAUUUUCCAAAAAGAAGUAUCAUGGCCUUAUUUCAAAAUCAUUAAAUGCAUGGUUAAAAGUGGAGCGUAGAUUUAAGAUUGGAAAUUGUGGUGAUCAGGGGUCCUCCAAAAAGGUGAGUUCUCUUAAAUGUUUUGUCAAGAGACAGAGUAGCACAUAACAUAAAAUGCAGUAAAACUUAAGAAGCAACGCAAGACUAUCCCCCAGUCAAAUGCCAAGAAUUUGCCAAUACUCGCCCACACCCUCUUAGAAACAACCCUUUCACCUUCUAACCUUGCAAACAAGAAGCAAAAAUAUUUGACCAAGUUCGAAAGUAGUAUUUAACUAUUGCGAACAUCAAAAAAGAUUUCCUUUAAAAAUCUUAAAGAGUAUUGGAAAAGGAGUUGUAGCACUUGAAACUAGAGACCUACAAGUUAUGUUGAAGGCAGAGACUGAGAGGAUUGAUCUUCAUCAUAAACCAUAUGUAAAAAUCAGGAAUUAUUCAGAUGAAAAAAUUAUAAAAAUGCACAGAUACAAAUGUGAGUGCCAGAUAUCUAUACUUGCAUUUUAUAAACGAUGAAACAAAGUGAAACGGAUACAAUAGAGACAUGAUCUACGCACAGAAUUAAACUUUAAAGACUGCAUUUUAUAAGUAACAUGUGUAGAUCAACAAUCAUGUGUUGCAGGCUUUGUUUCUAAUCAUUAUUUUCUAAGAAAAUCAGAAAUAAACUUUGAUUUCAUGUCAAACUCAUAAGCAUUAGUGGCACCUACUAAAACUUCAAGGAACUAAAUUAUAAAAAUAUAGUAUGUAAAUCUAGGUGUUCCUUUAAGUACGAGCUACUUAGACAUGCAAAUGCAUUUCAUUGACAUUAGACUAUACUAGAAAAAUGUUGCAACUAAAUCUUUAAAGAUUAUGCCUCCCAUAACCAGUAGCAUAAUGAAUAUAGAAAAAGAAUAAAACAUAUAUUACAUUAUGUACUUUAAGUAUA
Molecule: long non-coding RNA, 1034 nt
Filed under: Olea europaea subsp. europaea
Lineage: Eukaryota; Viridiplantae; Streptophyta; Magnoliopsida; Lamiales; Oleaceae
Source: RNAcentral